AAUGACAGUGGGACUCACUUUAAUCUAAUGCUCCCAACCCAGCAGAGCUCCUCCCUGUGGCCCAAUGCUGGAAGCAAUUUCAGACCGUCAAAUCACAUGCGGUUUGAUGUCAGACCACUCAACUACCCCAGGCCACAGAUCUUGCCUCCUGGGUAAAAUCCAUGCCUCUCAGGCUACAACUUUUCCCCCUCGGUUCUGUCAAAGAGAGGUGUCCAACGCCAGUGCUUGGUGUCUGGAGCCCAUGCCACAAUUG
RNAcentral lists this long non-coding RNA (253 nucleotides) under Homo sapiens (human). RNAcentral's name for it is "non-protein coding lnc-RPS9-2:1". Lineage: Eukaryota; Metazoa; Chordata; Mammalia; Primates; Hominidae. The record is from RNAcentral.